RNAcentral lists this transfer RNA (67 nucleotides) under Fannia sociella. Its description in RNAcentral is "tRNA-Asp". It matches the Rfam family "tRNA". Rfam says of the family: Transfer RNA (tRNA) molecules are approximately 80 nucleotides in length. Their secondary structure includes four short double-helical elements and three loops (D, anti-codon, and T loops). Further hydrogen bonds mediate the characteristic L-shaped molecular structure. tRNAs have two regions of fundamental functional importance: the anti-codon, which is responsible for specific mRNA codon recognition, and the 3' end, to which the tRNAs corresponding amino acid is attached (by aminoacyl-tRNA synthetases). tRNAs cope with the degeneracy of the genetic code in two manners: having more than one tRNA (with a specific anti-codon) for a particular amino acid; and 'wobble' base-pairing, i.e. permitting non-standard base-pairing at the 3rd anti-codon position. The record is from RNAcentral. Lineage: Eukaryota; Metazoa; Arthropoda; Insecta; Diptera; Fanniidae.
AAAAAAUUAGUUAAAGUAUAUAACAUUAGCUUGUCAAGCUAAAAUUAUUAAUUAUUAAUAUUUUUUA